Molecule: ribosomal RNA, 987 nt
Filed under: Staphylococcus epidermidis
Lineage: Bacteria; Bacillati; Bacillota; Bacilli; Caryophanales; Staphylococcaceae
Description: bacterial LSU rRNA
Rfam family: Bacterial large subunit ribosomal RNA
Source: RNAcentral
AGAUUAAGUUAUUAAGGGCGCACGGUGGAUGCCUUGGCACUAGAAGCCGAUGAAGGACGUUACUAACGACGAUAUGCUUUGGGUAGCUGUAAGUAAGCGUUGAUCCAGAGAUUUCCGAAUGGGGGAACCCAGCAUGAGUUAUGUCAUGUUAUCGACAUGUGAAUUCAUAGCAUGUCAGAAGGCAGACCCGGAGAACUGAAACAUCUUAGUACCCGGAGGAAGAGAAAGAAAAAUCGAUUCCCUGAGUAGCGGCGAGCGAAACGGGAAGAGCCCAAACCAACAAGCUUGCUUGUUGGGGUUGUAGGACACUCUAUACGGAGUUACAAAAGAACAUGUUAGACGAAUCAUCUGGAAAGAUGAAUCAAAGAAGGUAAUAAUCCUGUAGUCGAAAACAUAUUCUCUCUUGAGUGGAUCCUGAGUACGACGGAGCACGUGAAAUUCCGUCGGAAUCUGGGAGGACCAUCUCCUAAGGCUAAAUACUCUCUAGUGACCGAUAGUGAACCAGUACCGUGAGGGAAAGGUGAAAAGUACCCCGGAAGGGGAGUGAAAGAGAACUUGAAACCGUGUGCUUACAAGUAGUCAGAGCCCGUUAAUGGGUGAUGGCGUGCCUUUUGUAGAAUGAACCGGCGAGUUACGAUCUGAUGCAAGGUUAAGCAGCAAAUGUGGAGCCGCAGCGAAAGCGAGUCUGAAUAGGGCGUUGAGUAUUUGGUCGUAGACCCGAAACCAGGUGAUCUACCCUUGGUCAGGUUGAAGUUCAGGUAACACUGAAUGGAGGACCGAACCGACUUACGUUGAAAAGUGAGCGGAUGAACUGAGGGUAGCGGAGAAAUUCCAAUCGAACUUGGAGAUAGCUGGUUCUCUCCGAAAUAGCUUUAGGGCUAGCCUCAAGUGAUGAUUAUUGGAGGUAGAGCACUGUUUGGACGAGGGGCCCCUCUCGGGUUACCGAAUUCAGACAAACUCCGAAUGCCAAUUAAUUUAACUUGGGAG